GGGGGUGUAGCUCAACGGUAGAGCACUCGCCUUUUAAGCGAUUGGUUCCGGGUCCGAAUCCCGGCGCCCCCA
RNAcentral lists this transfer RNA (72 nucleotides) under Candidatus Curtissbacteria bacterium. RNAcentral's name for it is "tRNA-Lys". It matches the Rfam family "tRNA". Rfam says of the family: Transfer RNA (tRNA) molecules are approximately 80 nucleotides in length. Their secondary structure includes four short double-helical elements and three loops (D, anti-codon, and T loops). Lineage: Bacteria; Candidatus Curtissiibacteriota. The record is from RNAcentral.